RNAcentral lists this ribosomal RNA (254 nucleotides) under uncultured soil bacterium. Its description in RNAcentral is "partial 16S ribosomal RNA". It matches the Rfam family "Bacterial small subunit ribosomal RNA", at positions 26 to 291 of the family's 1533-position model. The record is from RNAcentral.
AGGACGAACGCUGGCGGCGUGCUUAACACAUGCAAGUCGAGGGCGGUGGCAAUACCGACCGGCGAACGGGUGCGUAACACGUGAGCAACCUACCGAGAUGUGGGGGAUAGCCGGCCCAACGGCCGGGUAAUACCGCAUACGCUCUUUCCACGGCAUUGUGGAUUGAGGAAACCUCCGGGGCAUUUCGAGGGGCUCGCGGCCUAUCAGCUAGUUGGCGGGGUAACGGCCCACCAAGGCAUCGACGGGUAGCUGGU